Molecule: transfer RNA, 48 nt
Filed under: Centropomus robalito
Lineage: Eukaryota; Metazoa; Chordata; Actinopteri; Centropomidae
Description: partial tRNA-Pro
Source: RNAcentral
UCCCAAAGCUAAUAUUCUUCAGAAUAUGAUUAAACUAUUCUAUGCUUA